CGUUUAUUGCCUACAGUGAGACCUGUCCAAUUAUGUACUUGUGACCCUGUAAACACCACUGAAUCAGCUGGCAGAGCAAUCAUUUUGGUUUGCAUAAAUGGUAAUUCUUAAUUAAAGUAUAACCAAAUAUUGUGCUGUAUUUUAAUUUUAGGCCGGUAUGAUUUGCAUUUGCCAAAUUUGUUGUGCAAAGUAUGUCUGGCACAGUGGUCACCUGACAUGAGAGACCUAAUAAGAAGUGGGUAUUGGCCAGCAUCUGUGAAUGCUGACACGCUGCCUUCAAAGACAUUUGAAGAAAUGAAAACUAUUGCACCCAGUUUAUCAAGACAAGGUUUUUUGCAGAUGUUGGAGAGGAGGACUUGUCACUUUGGAAGGGAUGGGAAAAUACAUGGAGAUGCAUUCCAAAAAAUCUUUAUGGAAUACACAUUCUGCCAGCACCAGUGUGAGAAAAUGACGAGUGUAGAGCACUUCACCUGCCCGGCAUGUUCACCCAACACCCUUGCUCUUUGUGCAGAUGGCAACAGAAAACUAUACCGAUUUCGUCAGUCAAAAGGGUCAGAAGAACCACAUUUUGAUGGUACCUUCAUUGCAAAGGACACUGAUGUACACCAUUGUGUUGAUGAGAUCAGGAGUAAAAUGAAAAGUACUGCUGGCAGAGGGAUUUGUGGAGCCAGUCAGUGGUCUGCUGCACGUGAAACUGCCAGAAGAGCAAGCAAACUGGAUGAAGAGGGUCUGGAGGUGGUUGUCUGCAGACAUGGACUAAUACUCAAGGCUCUUAACAUGUACAGAGGGGAAAUAUUCGCCUAUCCACUGUACCUGCAGAAGGCGCUCCAAGCAGCCACAAAUGGACAGUUCCAUUGCACGGAUAUUGCAUGCAAGUAUUGGCCCUACCUAGAGAAGCUGGCAGUCUCCAUGUUGGAACUCAGACCUUUACUGCAGAUGAGACCAUUCCUUUCUGUCAUGCAUGCCAAGGCUCAUUCAACCAAGUGUGAGGUACUUCAUAUUCUUAAUCAUACCAUUUAUUACUGGUAUAAUACACUAUAUGAUUAAAUAUAAGUGUCACACUGAUUUAUUAGAUAAUCUGGAGUGGCAAGAAUCAGGAAGGUGCAUCAAGACUUUUAAAAAGGCUGAGGCUGAGUCUCAGAGACUUGAGGAUUUGAGAAGUGAACUAGGGUGUCCUCAGAACACUGUGCUUCAGUGGGUACAUGAUGUCAGACAGUGGGCUACUGAUGAUUCGGUAGGUACCAGAUGUGAUGAACAACAUAACCUUCAGAAAUCAAUUGAACAAAUGUUUCUUGGAGUUCAUCAAAAAAAAAAAAAGCCAGCCUUUAUAAUCAGACUGACAGCAACAAAAUUCGACAUUUGCGUCAAAGGAAAUUGUGGGAAGAGAAGAGAAAACUUUUGCAAGCAAUCAAGCUCUACAGUGAGCAGAUGCCAGAUGAGGAGCGCAUCGCUGAGGAGAAGGUAGUCAGCGGACUCUCUUUGGGGU
This is a long non-coding RNA of Carassius gibelio (silver crucian carp), 1486 nucleotides long. RefSeq lists it as uncharacterized. The transcript is spliced from 7 exons. NCBI's taxonomy places the organism in Eukaryota, Metazoa, Chordata, Actinopteri, Cypriniformes, Cyprinidae. The record is from RefSeq and is a predicted model, not a curated record.